This 114-nucleotide ribosomal RNA is filed under the name Lepisosteus oculatus (spotted gar). Lineage: Eukaryota; Metazoa; Chordata; Actinopteri; Semionotiformes; Lepisosteidae. The record is from RNAcentral.
GCCAGCAGCCAUAUCACCCUGCAACUCACAACUGGCAACCCACUGAAGCGAAGCAGGUUUGAGUCAGUACCUGGAUGGGAGACCUCCUGGGAAAAACUAAGGUUGCUGCUGGAA